This 490-nucleotide ribosomal RNA is filed under the name uncultured bacterium. RNAcentral's name for it is "partial 16S ribosomal RNA". It matches the Rfam family "Bacterial small subunit ribosomal RNA", at positions 30 to 507 of the family's 1533-position model. The record is from RNAcentral.
AUUGAACGCUGGCGGCAGGCCUAACACAUGCAAGUCGAACGGUAACAGGAAGAAGCUUGCUUCUUUGCUGACGAGUGGCGGACGGGUGAGUAAUGUCUGGGAAACUGCCUGAUGGAGGGGGAUAACUACUGGAAACGGUAGCUAAUACCGCAUAACGUCGCAAGACCAAAGAGGGGGACCUUCGGGCCUCUUGCCAUCGGCUGUGCCCAGAUGGGAUUAGCUAGUAGGUAGGGUAACGGCUCACCUAGGCGACGAUCCCUAGCUGGUCUGAGAGGAUGACCAGCCACACUGGAACUGAGACACGGUCCAGACUCCUACGGGAGGCAGCAGUGGGGAAUAUUGCACAAUGGGCGCAAGCCUGAUGCAGCCAUGCCGCGUGUAUGAUGAAGGCCUUCGGGUUGUAAAGUACUUUUAUCGGGGAAGAAGGAAGGUAUAAUAAUAUCUGCGCUUAUUGACGGUACCUGCACAGAAAGCAACGGCUAACUACGUG